ACAUGCAAGUCGAACGAAGUAGCAAUACUUAGUGGCAGACGGGUGAGUAACAUGUAGGUAUCUGCCCUUUGGCCUGGAAUAACACGAGGAAACUUGUGCUAAUACCGGAUAAGUCUUUACGGAGAAAGCUUUAUGCACCAUUGGAUGAGCCUGCACUUGAUUAGUUUGUUGGUGGGGUAAUGGCCUACCAAGACUGUGAUCAAUAGCUGAUUUGAGAGGAUGAUCAGCCACAUUGGGACUGAGACACGGCCCAAACUCCUACGGGAGGCAGCAGUGGGGAAUCUUGCACAAUGGAGGAAACUCUGAUGCAGCGAUGCCGCGUGAGUGAAGAAGGCCUUUGGGUUGUAAAGCUCUUUCGUCGGGGAAGAAAAUGACUGUACCCGAAUAAGAAGGUCCGGCUAACUUCGUGCCAGCAGCCGCGGUAAUACGAAGGGACCUAGCGUAGUUCGGAAUUACUGGGCUUAAAGAGUUCGUAGGUGGUUGAAAAAGUUGGUGGUGAAAUCCCAGAGCUUAACUCUGGAACUGCCAUCAAAACUUUUCAGCUAGAGUAUGAUAGAGGAAAGCAGAAUUUCUAGUGUAGAGGUGAAAUUCGUAGAUAUUAGAAAGAAUACCAAUUGCGAAGGCAGCUUUCUGGAUCAUUACUGACACUGAGGAACGAAAGCAUGGGUAGCGAAGAGGAUUAGAUACCCUCGUAGUCCAU
RNAcentral lists this ribosomal RNA (700 nucleotides) under uncultured Alphaproteobacteria bacterium. Its description in RNAcentral is "bacterial SSU rRNA". It matches the Rfam family "Bacterial small subunit ribosomal RNA", at positions 53 to 798 of the family's 1533-position model. Lineage: Bacteria; Pseudomonadati; Pseudomonadota; Alphaproteobacteria. The record is from RNAcentral.